Molecule: ribosomal RNA, 539 nt
Filed under: uncultured bacterium
Lineage: Bacteria
Description: bacterial SSU rRNA
Rfam family: Bacterial small subunit ribosomal RNA
Source: RNAcentral
AGAGUUUGAUCAUGGCUCAGAAUCAACGCUGGCGGCGUGCCUCAGACGUGCAAGUCGAACGCGAAAGUCCCCUUCGGGGGACAAGUAGAGUGGCGCACGGGUGAGUAACACGUAGGUAAUCUACCUUCGGAUGGGGAAUAACAACCGGAAACGGUUGCUAAUACCGCAUAAUGCAGCGGCACCUAAUGGUGACAGUUGUUAAAGCGGGGGAUCGAAAGACCUCGCGUCUGAAGAGGAGCCUGCGGCGGAUUAGCUAGUUGGUAGGGUAACGGCCUACCAAGGCGACGAUCCGUAGCCGGCCUGAGAGGGCGGUCGGCCACACUGACACUGACAUACGGGUCAGACUCCUACGGGAGGCAGCAGUCGGGAAUUUUGGGCAAUGGGCGAAAGCCUGACCCAGCAACGCCGCGUGAAGGAUGAAAUCCCUCGGGAUGUAAACUUCGCAAGAACGGGAAGAAUAAGUAGGGGACAAUACCCCCUAUGAUGACGGUACCGUUUGUAAGCUCCGGCUAACUCCGUGCCAGCAGCGGCGGUAAUAC